RNAcentral lists this unclassified non-coding RNA (3253 nucleotides) under Hevea brasiliensis (rubber tree). Lineage: Eukaryota; Viridiplantae; Streptophyta; Magnoliopsida; Malpighiales; Euphorbiaceae. The record is from RNAcentral.
UUUUAAUUAAAAGAAGUCUUUAUAUUGAUGAAUAAAUCAUAGCAGAGAAGUUGUAUAUGUCCAAUUACAUUUAUUGAGCAAUGUCAAAACUUUGGAAGUUAUCCAUGACUAGCAUCAAAUUUGAGUAACAGAUCCCACUAAACAGCAAAUGAUCACACAACUGCACAUUCUGCCAUGCAUGGUUAGUGCACAGAAGGACAGAUGGCUCACAUUGUAUAAUCACCUCAAUAAUGCUGGGAUAUAUAUUUAGAUCAUCUACUAAUGAAGUUUCUUUAUCCCAGGAAAUGAUGGAAGGAUUGCAAUGAGAGCAUCACCAUAUCCAACAGGUUCUGUACAAAAAACAGGCAUGAAGAACUUAUAAUGAACCCAGAUCUUUGAACUUGAAAGAAAACCCACAAUUUGAAAAGACUCAGAAAAAAAGAGUGAACUUACCGCCAUCCUCCCGCAGUAUUUUGAUCACCUCACCUGAUACAUCAGACUGCAAAGGAUGAAAGAAAAUAAGGACUUCAAUUGCAAAUAUUAAUUACAUCCCAUUUGACACUGUCAAAUUGACUUUUGUUUCAACCUUGUUAAACUUUUGGCCCUCAACCUUGAAGGACUGGUUCUAAGAACAUUGAUAAUCACAACAGUGAAAAUAUAAAGUAUAAUUAUACUGUGUUGCACCACAUGGUUGGCCAGUUAUGGCCUAAUUAACUGUGGGGCCAAACAAAGACUUGAUAAGGAACUUGCUUCCCACAUUCAAGACAAUAAUUACAUGAAUUCAAGGUCCAAACCUCAAUUGGAAUCUCGCCGCCCAGCUGUUCAAUGUAGCAAAUCACUUGGCCCUCCUUCACUAUUUGCUUCUGUUGAGCAGAGAAAAGUUAUCAACGUUAGUUGAUAGACUCUGCAUAACUGAUGCGCUACAGCAAAGGAUCAACAUAUGGUCUAUGACAAAGGAUAAACACAAGGUCUAUGAUUAAUUGGCAAGCGCCCAUGAGCAAGGCAAAACAUUUAUUCCAAAAUCAAGCCCCUCGAAUCUCCCGACUAUAUAAUGUAACACUGCUAUUUUCUUGUGCCUUUUCCCCCCCCUUUUUUCACGAAUUGCCACACAUUAAUGAUGCAAUUAAAAAAAAUUCAUUGAAAGGCAGAGAAAAUACAAGGUAAAAAUAUUUGAGCUGAAUUUCUUUCCUAAAAAUUGAAUAGGCACAUGAAGAUCAAGUACAACACUAAAAUUUCUGUGACCAAAUAAAGUGGAGCAGGAAAACUCAAGUACUCAACUUCACAUUUAACUAGCCUUCUGUUCAUAUUUCAAUGAGAUUGUCAUUGACUACAAUGAAAGAAAGUAAUUACAUUCUCUUCACCUCCCCCAAAAAAAAAAGAUAAUAAUAAUAAUAAAAGGAAGAAAAAGAGGAAGAGGAAGAUUAGCAAGAAGUAAAUACAAUAAAUCCAUCAUAAAAUGAGAGUAUAAAAUAAUAAAGCACAAGAUAAGAAGAUCAUCUAAAAAACCCAUAACAAAACCUCUUUUUUUAACUUUUCUUUUAGAUAGAGAAUGAUUAUAUUUCAAAUGAAAAGGAAGCAUUUGUCCAUCUCCUAUAAAUGCAGUUGAUAAUUUGCAUGGUCCUGUCCUAUACAAUACAAUAUUUCUGACAGUAAUUGGUACCUCUUUACAUGAUGGGGGAGCACGUUUUCCCUUUAUAGUUCGAGAUCUUCGGAAAAAACCCACCUGCAUAUUUAUGAUGUUAGUGCCUCAAGCUUGAAGACGCCAAAGCAUUCUUACUUAAGAUUCUCACCCUUGGAGACUGCAAUAUCAUUAAGCCCUCAUCUGCAGCUCUAUCCAGAAAUGAUUUAAUCCCCCCUGAAAAAGGUACUGGUUUGGAGAUGGCCAAAGAUGUAGAAGACACUGACCCAUUUGAAUCAGGUGCCUUGAUACUGGUAUCCACACUGACAGAGGGGGAAGCAGGAGCAGGGGCAGGGGCAGAGGCAGAAGCAAGAGUAGGCAGAGGUGGAACUUUACUUUUCCCAGUUAAGUCCCUCACCACAUAUAGCCUAAAUCCUCCAACUUUCAAUUCAAACUCUGCAAUAGAACUUGUGUUGCAUAUUUCUGUGACCAGAGAUUCAACCUGCAGAAAAAAUUUAAGUGAAACAUGUGUCUCAAAGCCAAAAAGGAACUUCCAAACAUUAUGUAUUUUGCACUAUAAACAGACAUCUUUACACAGACAGAACUCACAUGAUUCUUGAAGGGAAAAGUGAAGGAAAGGUAGUUGGGUGGAUAAAAAUGACAUAAUACAGAAGACAAUGGUUGAACUAACUUUGGGAUAAACAUUUACCCUCACUUUAAUGAUGGAUAGGGAGGAUGUUUAGGGAUAUGAUAGGACAAAAGAGGGCUCAUUACUAUACAAUUUUCCAACAUCUCAUGAAGAAGUUAUAACUUGUAUUUGAUAGUUGAUACUCAGCAUCCUCACCUUCAAUUUCUAUACACACUUGUGGAAUCUGUAUACACAAAAUUUUGUAUCAUAUUCCUUUCUCUAAAAUUCACAGAGCAACACAAGAAACCAUAAGAAUGGUUUUUGUGGAGUCUAAACUAAAAAAUGCACGCUUCUUUCCACAAACAACUCAACUAAGGAUAUACAAAGAUGAGACAGCAAACAAGCCAACCCAAUCCCAAUUUUUCGCUGUUCAAAAUAAGCACAGUAAAAAAUGGGAAUUCACCUGAGAAUUGAACAAUACAAAAAGGAUAUGUUGAAGACUGGCUCAAAGGCAGCCCAACUUUUUAAUGACAAAUUUCUUUCAAACCAAAGCUUAAGCAUAAAUAGCAUAUACAACAAUAAUAGCAACUAAGUCUUAAAACCAAAUUAGCUAGGAUUGGCUAUAUGGAUCUUUUUUCGCCGUUCAGCUUUAUUUAAAAUCAAUUCUGCAUCAAUGUCCAAAAAUUACAAAUAUUUUGAAAUUACUCCCCUCAUUAUUUUAAGUCUUCCCUUUCCCCUUCUCACUUUUUUUCACUACUAAUUUAUCUGGCUUCAAUAUUAGGGCAUUCAAUGCUCUAUGUUGGACAUGACUAAAUCAUCUUAAUCGAUCCUUUCUCAUUUUAUCCUCAAUGUAUUUAUAGUAGAAAUGCGAAUGUGGUCAUUCUUAACCUUAUCAAUUAUCAUGCUACCAGACAUCUAUCUUGACAUUACCGUUUCUCCUACGCUAUGUUAUACCUUAGAUGCCCAACUUUCACUCCCAUGCAACAUAGUUGGUCUGACCAGUCUUAUAGAACUUAUGAUGUGUCCCA